Molecule: non-coding RNA, 31 nt
Filed under: Mus musculus (house mouse)
Lineage: Eukaryota; Metazoa; Chordata; Mammalia; Rodentia; Muridae
Source: RNAcentral
AGCAAGAUGAAUUGUAUCUCUGUUUGAGCCU